GACGAACGCUGGCGGCGUGCUUAACACAUGCAAGUCGAGCGGGAUCCAACCGGUGGCAACACCGGGGAAGAUCUAGCGGCGAACGGGUGAGUAACACGUGAGCAACCUGCCCCGAAGACUGGGAGUAACACCGGGAAACCGGUGCUAAUACCGGAUGUCGUCAUUAGGCCGCAUGACCUGAUGAUGAAAGGAAUUCAUCGCUUCGGGAGGGGCUCGCGGGCUAUCAGCUUGNGGUUGGGGUAACGGGCCUACCAAGGCGACGACGGCUAGCUGGUCUGAGAGGACGACCAGCCACACUGGGACUGAGACACGGCCCAGACUCCUACGGGAGGCAGCAGUGGGGAAUCUUGCGCAAUGGGCGAAAGCCUGACGCAGCAACGCCGCGUGGGGGAUGAAUG
This 398-nucleotide ribosomal RNA is filed under the name uncultured bacterium. RNAcentral describes it as "bacterial SSU rRNA". It matches the Rfam family "Bacterial small subunit ribosomal RNA", at positions 28 to 414 of the family's 1533-position model. The record is from RNAcentral.